GACGAACGCUGGCGGCGUGCUUAACACAUGCAAGUCGAACGGAAAGGCCCUGCUUUUGUGGGGUGCUCGAGUGGCGAACGGGUGAGUAACACGUGAGUAACCUGCCCUUGACUUUGGGAUAACUUCAGGAAACUGGGGCUAAUACCGGAUAGGAGCUCCUGCUGCAUGGUGGGGGUUGGAAAGUUUCGGCGGUUGGGGAUGGACUCGCGGCUUAUCAGCUUGUUGGUGGGGUAGUGGCUUACCAAGGCUUUGACGGGUAGCCGGCCUGAGAGGGUGACCGGCCACAUUGGGACUGAGAUUCGGGCCAGACUCCUAAGGGAGGCAGCAGUGGGGAAUAUUGCACAAUGGGCGGAAGCCUGAUGCAGCAACGCCGCGUGGGGGAUGACGGCCUUCGGGUUGUAAACCGCUUUCGCCUGUGACGAAGCGUGAGUGACGGUAAUGGGUAAAGAAGCACCGGCUAACUACGUG
Molecule: ribosomal RNA, 468 nt
Filed under: uncultured bacterium
Lineage: Bacteria
Description: partial 16S ribosomal RNA
Rfam family: Bacterial small subunit ribosomal RNA
Source: RNAcentral